Molecule: ribosomal RNA, 26 nt
Filed under: Cortinarius illuminus
Lineage: Eukaryota; Fungi; Basidiomycota; Agaricomycetes; Agaricales; Cortinariaceae
Also listed under: 1 other name
Description: partial 28S ribosomal RNA
Source: RNAcentral
UGUGACCUCAAAUCAGGUAGGACUAC